This 263-nucleotide ribosomal RNA is filed under the name uncultured bacterium. Its description in RNAcentral is "partial 16S ribosomal RNA". It matches the Rfam family "Bacterial small subunit ribosomal RNA", at positions 333 to 610 of the family's 1533-position model. The record is from RNAcentral.
AUCGUCCUACGGGAGGCAGCAGUGGGGAAUAUUGGGCAAUGGGCGCAAGCCUGACCCAGCAACGCCGCGUGAAGGAAGAAGGCUUUCGGGUUGUAAACUUCUUUUAUGAGGGACGAAACAAAUGACGGUACCUCAUGAAUAAGCCACGGCUAACUACGUGCCAGCAGCCGCGGUAAUACGUAGGAGGCAAGCGUUAUCCGGAUUUACUGGGUGUAAAGGGCGUGUAGGCGGGACUGCAAGUCAGAUGUGAAAAUUAUGGGCUC